UAAAUUAAGUAUAUGAAGGGUAUUAGAUGGCACUAACAUGCUACGUAGCUCUGAGCAUGGCUCUGUCUGAUCAAGAUGAAAUAAAUGGGUUUUCCAUCAUAUUAAUUUAUUGCACUGAACAGCAAGGCACCGCCAGGAUAAUACCAGUGACAAUGAGAUGCUUUUGUCCCCUGUGCACUGGAAAAUACAAACAUGCCAAGGUUUAAUGGGAAAGUUAUUAAUGUGUUUAUACUCCUGUACUAAAAUAAAUGCUUGUAUUACUCGCCUUGCUAGGUGAAAUAUUUCAAGAUCUCUAGCCAGUUCCCAUGCACCACGAAUAUGAUGACGUUAAUGCAAAUUCAGAAGAGAAUCAACAUAACCAACAGGAACUGUGCACAUUCACAUCAAGGAAACCUAUGAUCUCUAUGUGCAAACAUCAAUGGAGAGAACAUGGAUCGUGUCCCCAUAGCAUUCGGAAUACUGAAACUUACAAGGCGCAAUUAUACAAAACAGACGAAUCAAAUGAAAUACCUCAUUCUGCGCUACAAUCUCCACCGACGCUCUAGUCAGAAACUAAAUUCUGCAAUGGUAACAUUUUACAGAACCAGAAAUUGCAUAAAUGGAACAACUUUGCAUAAACAUGAUUAACUUUCAUGCUUUACAAAGUUUGUGCAGUUGCAAAGUUCACGUUUCUGGGAGAUUGUUUGGGUUUGUUUUUUGAAGUAGGAAUAUUCUGUCUUGAAAUUUCUGUCCGAUCACUGGAAAAAAAAGCAUUGUGGCUCAUGGAAAAGUGGGGAAACCGCUGGGAAGAAUUUGUGGUUGUGCUGAGUGAAUGUAACCCAUUUGGCCCUGUUCCUUUCUCUACAUUUAUAGUAGAAACUGCCAACAUGUUUUCUGGGUUCAAUUCACAAACAUGAAGGCUGAAA
Zootoca vivipara (common lizard) is the source of this 905-nucleotide non-coding RNA. The record is from RefSeq and is a predicted model, not a curated record. Lineage: Eukaryota; Metazoa; Chordata; Lepidosauria; Squamata; Lacertidae.